UUGGCAGCAAAAUACUGGGCAAAUGGAGACUGUAUGAUGGACUAUGUCAAUUAGUGGAUUCUUCAAAGACCUCAUGGUGCUUGGAGUAGCAAGACUGGAAGCGAUUUAUAACUGGUGAACUAUCAAAACCACUUGAGCAAGAACCUCGGAACAUGCCCUACAUCUGGGACCUGAGCAGGCUGCUGGCCACAGCCACAGCAGUAGCGCUGGCCCUGGGAGCAGGGGACACAGGACAACCCACAAGAGGCAGGAAAACACAUGCACGCACCCCAGAGGACUGAAAGCAGGCACUCAGCCAGUCUGGUAGAGUAGCAUCGUCCACCACAGCCAAGAGCUGCAGCAUUCCUCAGCUGAUCAGCACAGGAGCGUGAGGAACAGGUACUAGCUACUCCAAUCAUCCAGGAUGGUUUCCAAGUAUCAAAAGGAAGCAAUUCCUGAUGAAGGCUGCAGCCUGGAUGACCCCCACAAAACACGCAGGGAACAGUAAGCCACUCCCAGAAAGAUGCACAUUGUGUAAUUCCAUUUCUGUGAAAAAUCUACAAGAGGUGAACUUACAGAGACAGCGGAUUGGCAGUUCUCAUGGGCCAGGGGAGGAAGAAGGUGCGAUACUGCCCAAUGGAAGGAGUAUAGGGGAGGAGUCAUUGAAAGGUUUCAGACAUGGUGACGAUGAUUGAAUAGA
Molecule: long non-coding RNA, 679 nt
Organism: Ochotona curzoniae (black-lipped pika)
Lineage: Eukaryota; Metazoa; Chordata; Mammalia; Lagomorpha; Ochotonidae
Exons: 3
Source: RefSeq, a predicted model, not a curated record